GUGCUUGCUUUGGUAGCACAUAACACUAAAAACCCUCUAACAAUACAAAGAUGAGCAUGGCCCCUGCGCAAGGAUAGCAUGCAAACUCAUGAAGUGAUCCAUAUUUAA
This 108-nucleotide small nuclear RNA is filed under the name Panthera tigris altaica (Amur tiger). Lineage: Eukaryota; Metazoa; Chordata; Mammalia; Carnivora; Felidae. The record is from RNAcentral.